Rosa chinensis is the source of this 267-nucleotide long non-coding RNA. RefSeq lists it as uncharacterized. The record is from RefSeq and is a predicted model, not a curated record. NCBI's taxonomy places the organism in Eukaryota, Viridiplantae, Streptophyta, Magnoliopsida, Rosales, Rosaceae. The transcript is spliced from 2 exons.
UGGAGAUGGAGACUUGAGGUUUGAGGAAUCUGCGUUUUAAAGAUUUUGGAGAAGAGAAGUGUUGGGUCAGUUUCCAUUGAAAAUGGAUUGAGGAAUUCGAGUAAAGAUGAUGAGAAUGCAGCUAUGGUGACUCAAAUCUCUGUUUGGAAAAGAAGAAAUGGUAAGUGUUGGUCCCUGUCAAACCGUGGGUUUUGGUGUGGUGAUUGUAAAAUCCUAGUGGUUGUUAUCGAAUGGAAUGAAAAGUUGGUAUGCUGCUUGAAUGGUUAA